UCCCUUGUAGCUCAGUUGGUAAAGAAUUUGUCUGUAAUGCAGGAGACCCAGGUUCAAUUCCUGGGUUGGGAA
Ovis aries (sheep) is the source of this 72-nucleotide transfer RNA. It matches the Rfam family "tRNA". Rfam says of the family: Transfer RNA (tRNA) molecules are approximately 80 nucleotides in length. The record is from Rfam. Lineage: Eukaryota; Metazoa; Chordata; Mammalia; Artiodactyla; Bovidae.